CUUUCAUCAAUAUAUGUAAUUUUUUUCCGCUAUGACUGUGGUUAUUUUUCCCUCGUAUUUCUUCUGGCUUCGCAUCUUCCUCCUCCUCGUCCUCCUCCUCCUCCUCCUCCUCCUCCUCAAGAUUACCCUACCUUCAAAGGCUCUGUGAUAUGGCUUCAAAGGAUAGUAGGGAAAUGGUGUUGGUAUUGGUGGUGGUGGUGUAAGGCCUCUGAGUGGCUGUGAUGGUGUUGGAAGGUGUAUUUUUUUGUGUGUGUGUGUUUUUGUUUGUGUGUGUGUGUGUAUGUGUGUGUGUGUGUGUGUGUGUGUGUGUGUGUGUGUGUGUGUGUGUUACUGUCGAUCUUUCUUUCCUAUUACUACUACUACUACUACUACUACUACUACUAUCAUCUUUUCAGUCGUCAAGGAAGGCUAUUUAGAUAUUCUCUUUCUACCUGAAGCAUAAAUCAUCCCACUAAUUAGCUCACCUGCCCUCAUCUGCUACGUUUUUGGGGCUGAGGAAUGAGAUAAUGAGAGGAUAAUGAGAGUGAGGUAAAAUAUAUAUACUAAGAUGGAGUGUAAUAAAAAAAGAUCGUUAGGGGAAAUUAAUGUUAAACUGUGGAAUAAAGAAAAACAUGGAGAAAGGUAAAAUUUUGGAAUCGUAGGAAUAGAAAGUAAUUAGAAUGAUGAAAACUGAAUGAAUAUGAAAAGGAGAGAAGGAAAAUAGAAAGGAGAAAGGGAAAUUGAAAAGGAUAGAGGUGAAGUUUAGGACUAGGAGUAAUAAGAUGAUAAAAAUAAUGAAAAUGAAAAGGAGAGAGGGAAAAUGAAAAGGAGAAAGGGAAAUUGAAAAGGAUAGAUGUGAAAUUUAGGACAAGGAGUAAUAAGUUGAUAAAAAUAUUGAAAAUGAAAAGGAGAGAGGGAAAACGAAAAGGAGAAAGGGAAAUUGAAAAGGAUAGAGGUGAAAUUUAGUACAAGAAGUAAUAAGUUGGUAAAAAUAAUGAAAAUGAAUGAAAAUGAGAAAAUGAGCAUAUUGAGAUUGAGAUAAAGAAUAAAUAUAGUAAGAUGGAGUAUAUAAUAAAAAAGAACGUGGAGAGAAAUUAAUGCUAAACUGUCGAAUAUAAAAGAAAAAAAAAUAGGAGAGGUAAAACGUUGGAGUCGUAGGAAGGAAAUUUGAUAGGGAGGAGGAAGAAAAGAAUGAAGAGAAAUCUGAAAAUAAAAGGUAGGGAAAUAGUCUGAAUUUACUAGGGCGGGAAAAUAUAUUAAAAAAAAACAAUAGGACGAGGAGAGAAAAU
Long non-coding RNA from Eriocheir sinensis (Chinese mitten crab), 1268 nucleotides. RefSeq lists it as uncharacterized. The record is from RefSeq and is a predicted model, not a curated record. Lineage: Eukaryota; Metazoa; Arthropoda; Malacostraca; Decapoda; Varunidae. The transcript is spliced from 2 exons.